RNAcentral lists this ribosomal RNA (449 nucleotides) under uncultured bacterium. RNAcentral describes it as "partial 16S ribosomal RNA". It matches the Rfam family "Bacterial small subunit ribosomal RNA", at positions 29 to 523 of the family's 1533-position model. The record is from RNAcentral.
AACGUACGCUGGCGGCGCGCCUAACACAUGCAAGUCGAACGCAGUAGCAAUACUGAGUGGCGGACGGGUGAGUAACAUGUGGGAAUCUGCCUUGUGGUUCAGGACAACAUUGGGAAACCGAUGCUAAUACUGGAUAAGCCCUUACGGGGAAAGUUUUAAUGCCAUAAGAUGAGCCCGCAUUUGAUUAGUUAGUUGGUGAGGUAAUGGCUCACCAAGACAAUGAUCAAUAGCUGAUCUGAGAGGAUGAUCAGCCACACUGGGACUGAGACACGGCCCAGACUCCUACGGGAGGCAGCAGUGGGGAAUCUUGCACAAUGGAGGAAACUCUGAUGCAGCGAUGCCGCGUGAGUGAAGAAGGCCUUUGGGUUGUAAAGCUCUUUUGUAGGGGAAGAUAAUGACUGUACCCUAAGAAUAAGGUCCGGCUAACUUCGUGCCAGCCGCCGCGGUAA